GGGUUGCCUAGUAACGGCGAGUGAAGCGGCAACAGCUCAAAUUUGAAAUCUGGCUUUCGGGCCCGAGUUGUAAUUUGUAGAGGAUGAUUUUGAUGCGGUGCCUUCCGAGUUCCCUGGAACGGGACGCCAUAGAGGGUGAGAGCCCCGUCUGGUUGGAUGCCAAAUCUCUGUAAAUCUCCUUCGACGAGUCGAGUAGUUUGGGAAUGCUGCUCUAAAUGGGAGGUAUAUGUCUUCUAAAGCUAAAUACCGGCCAGAGACCGAUAGCGCACAAGUAGAGUGAUCGAAAGAUGAAAAGCACUUUGAAAAGAGAGUUAAAAAGUACGUGAAAUUGUUGAAAGGGAAGCGUUUAUGACCAGACUUGGGCUUGGUUAAUCAUCUGGGGUUCUCUCCAGUGCACUUUUCCAGUCCAGGCCAGCAUCAGUUUUCGCCGGGGGAUAAAGGCUUCGGGAAUGUGGCUCCCCUCGGGGAGUGUUAUAGCCCGUUGUGUAAUACCCUGGUGGGGACUGAGGUUCGCGCUUCUGCAAGGAUGCUGGCGUAAUGGUCAUCAACGACCCGUCUUGAAACACGGACCAAGGAGUCGUCUUCGUAUGCGAGUGUUCGGGUGUCAAACCCCUACGCGUAAUGAAAGUGAACGCAGGUGAGAGCUUCGGCGCAUCAUCGACCGAUCCUGAUGUUCUCGGAUGGAUUUGAGUAAGAGCAUACGGGGCCGGACCCGAAAGAAGGUGAACUAUGCCUG
This 736-nucleotide ribosomal RNA is filed under the name Fusarium torulosum. RNAcentral's name for it is "LSU rRNA". It matches the Rfam family "Eukaryotic large subunit ribosomal RNA", at positions 72 to 839 of the family's 3401-position model. Lineage: Eukaryota; Fungi; Ascomycota; Sordariomycetes; Hypocreales; Nectriaceae. The record is from RNAcentral.